Tupaia belangeri chinensis (Chinese tree shrew) is the source of this 271-nucleotide long non-coding RNA. RefSeq lists it as uncharacterized. The record is from RefSeq and is a predicted model, not a curated record. The transcript has 3 exons. NCBI's taxonomy places the organism in Eukaryota, Metazoa, Chordata, Mammalia, Scandentia, Tupaiidae.
CCGCGGGAGAAAGAGCGCCGAGCACAUCGAAUGAAGAAACUCCGCUUGCUGAGCUCCCGCGCUUGCACUUACUGAGAAUUUGCUGUGUGCCAGGCUUGCGCUAGAAGUUCUACGAACUUGGCAUCAUUUAAUCCUCACUGUAUUCCUGUGAGAGAACUCCUCACCAGAGUCAUCCGUCUGCACUUCAUUGGCCAGAGCCAUCUCACAUGUCUCUCUGUAGCUACAGCGGAGUCCAGCAUUCUUGUUGACAAUGUGUCUGUUUGAGGGGCGA